UACAGAGGGUGCGAGCGUUAAUCGGAGUUACUGGGCGUAAAGGGCGCGUAGGCGGUGAUAUGAGUGUGAUGUGAAAGCCCCGGGCUUAACCUGGGAAGGGCAUCGCAAACGAUAUGACUAGAGUAUAUGAGAGGGUGGCGGAAUUUCCGGUGUAGCGGUGAAAUGCGUAGAGAUCGGAAGGAACGUCAAUGGCGAAGGCAGCCACCUGGCAUAAUACUGACGCUGAGGCGCGAAAGCGUGGGGAGCGAACAGG
RNAcentral lists this ribosomal RNA (253 nucleotides) under uncultured bacterium. Its description in RNAcentral is "partial 16S ribosomal RNA". It matches the Rfam family "Bacterial small subunit ribosomal RNA", at positions 524 to 776 of the family's 1533-position model. The record is from RNAcentral.